CCUACGGGAGGCAGCAGUGGGGAAUAUUGCACAAUGGGGGAAACCCUGAUGCAGCGACGCCGCGUGAGUGAAGAAGUAUCUCGGUACGUAAAGCUCUAUCAGCAGGGAAGAAAAUGACGGUACCUGACUAAGCAGCCCCGGCUAACUACGUGCCAGCAGCCGCGGUAAUACGUAGGGGGCAAGCGUUAUCCGGAUUUAUUGGGUUUAACGGGUGCGCAGGCGGGCUGUUAAGCCGGCGGUAAAAAUUCAGGGCUCAACCCUGUCGAGCCGUCGGAACUGGCAGUCUUGAGUGGGCGAGAAGUAUGCGGAAUGCGUGGUGUAGCGGUGAAAUGCAUAGAUAUCACGCAGAACGCCGAUUGCGAAGGCAGCAUACCGGCGCCCGACUGACGCUGAGGCACGAAAGCGUGGGGAUCGAACAGGAUUAGAUACCCCGGUAGUC
This 439-nucleotide ribosomal RNA is filed under the name uncultured bacterium. RNAcentral's name for it is "partial 16S ribosomal RNA". It matches the Rfam family "Bacterial small subunit ribosomal RNA", at positions 338 to 795 of the family's 1533-position model. The record is from RNAcentral.